GCAUAAAUUUGACAAAAUUCGAACAAGUUAUCAAAGACAGGGCAACUUCUCCAAGAUUAUCUGGUGUGAAAAUUUGAUGGUAAGUGAAACUUGCAACUAAAGGUAAUCUAAAAAAUCAAAUUAUCAUUCAUUUCAGAAUUAUGUUUGAACUUUUAUGCAAGUCAUGUAAAUAUAACUAAAUGUGAAGUUUCCACCAGGUGGGGAAGAAAAUAACAAAAAAUCAGCUACUUAACAAAGAAGAAACUUGCAUAGGAAAUCUCAUCACAGUUUGAAGAUCAAAAUGCUGGGUGGAUCCAAGAGUCCAGUAAUAUAUACUCAGCCCUAUAAGCUCCGCAAGAGAGAUGUACCGUCGUAGAAAUAGGCAAUCCUGUCCUUGGAGUGCAUUUUAGAGCUUGGAGUGCAUUUUAGAGAGAAGCUUUUACUGGAAGAGCUGCGAAGAUGGCUAUGUAGACUCAGCCAUGGCGACCGAGAGAGAGAACUGAUGUGCCGUAUGUAUCUUUACUACAUUUAUCCAAACGACACGUCGAACGCCUUGGAUCAAAA
This 543-nucleotide unclassified non-coding RNA is filed under the name Hevea brasiliensis (rubber tree). The record is from RNAcentral. Lineage: Eukaryota; Viridiplantae; Streptophyta; Magnoliopsida; Malpighiales; Euphorbiaceae.